This 329-nucleotide unclassified non-coding RNA is filed under the name soil metagenome. RNAcentral describes it as "partial contains 5.8S ribosomal RNA, internal transcribed spacer 2, and large subunit ribosomal RNA". The stretch from base 1 to 120 matches the Rfam family "5.8S ribosomal RNA", at positions 35 to 154 of the family's 154-position model. The record is from RNAcentral.
GAUGAAGAACGUAGCGAAAUGCGAUAAGUAGUGUGAAUUGCAGAAUUCAGUGAAUCAUCGAAUCUUUGAACGCACAUUGCGCCCUCUGGUAUUCCGGGGGGCAUGCCUGUUCGAGCGUCAUUAUAACCACUCAAGCUCUCGCUUGGUAUUGGGGUUCGCGGUUUCGCGGCCCCUAAAAUCAGUGGCGGUGCCUGUCGGCUCUACGCGUAGUAAUACUUCUCGCGAUUGAGUUCGAUAGGUCUACUUGCCAGUAACCCCCAAUUUUUACAGGUUGACCUCGGAUCAGGUAGGGAUACCCGCUGAACUUAAGCAUAUCAAUAAGCGGAGGA